UGAAGACGACGAGCCAGAAAUGGAGGAAGCAGCGAGUGCUUCUCAAGUAGUUGCGGUUUCAGCUGGUGACUAAUUGACAAAUUGAAGCUCCUCCUCCUCCUGAUGAGAAAACAGAGGAAAUACAAACUUCAUCCACUCCUCAGUGAAAUCCACAAGUUCGACGUUGUUGCUCCGCUUGACCACAUAUAGAUACAAUAGAAUCAAACUGGAUCAGCAUCUGUAUUACUUGCUGCAGAUUACAACAGACGUGAACAAGGCUAAAGGCUUGAUUAUCAGAAUUUCCAGAUUACUUGCACAAGUGCUACUCAUGAUGGCCGAAUCCUAUACGGCCCCGCCUUUAAUUCUCCAUUGCCUCUCUUUCUUCUUCCACCGCAACAGCAGCUCUGUGUUUCUUCCCUCAGUCCCUCGUCGCUUUACACGGACCAGUCACAC
Rosa chinensis is the source of this 432-nucleotide long non-coding RNA. RefSeq lists it as uncharacterized. Lineage: Eukaryota; Viridiplantae; Streptophyta; Magnoliopsida; Rosales; Rosaceae. The transcript has 3 exons. The record is from RefSeq and is a predicted model, not a curated record.